RNAcentral lists this small RNA (512 nucleotides) under Pongo abelii (Sumatran orangutan). Its description in RNAcentral is "retained intron". Lineage: Eukaryota; Metazoa; Chordata; Mammalia; Primates; Hominidae. The record is from RNAcentral.
UCCAGGUCCCCUACGUGGAGCUGGGGGGCAGGGUGCUGGUCAUGGCGGUGUACGACUUCGACCGCUUCUCUCGCAAUGACGCCAUCGGGGAGGUGCGGGUCCCCAUGAGCUCCGUGGACCUGGGGCGGCCAGUGCAGGCCUGGCGGGAGCUGCAGGCGGCUCCGCGGGAGGAGCAGGAGAAGCUUGGUGACAUCUGCUUCUCCCUCCGCUAUGUCCCCACGGCCGGGAAGCUCACCGUCAUUGUCCUGGAGGCUAAAAACCUGAAGAAGAUGGACGUAGGAGGACUGUCAGAUCCAUACGUCAAGGUCCACCUGCUGCAGGGCGGCAAAAAGGUGAGGAAGAAGAAAACCACCAUCAAGAAGAACACUCUGAACCCCUAUUACAACGAAGCUUUCAGCUUCGAGGUGCCCUGUGACCAAGUCCAGAAGGUGCAGGUGGAGCUGACCGUGCUGGACUACGACAAGCUGGGCAAGAACGAGGCCAUCGGGAGGGUGGCCGUGGGGGCGGCUGCC